This 429-nucleotide ribosomal RNA is filed under the name Bacteroidota bacterium. RNAcentral's name for it is "Bacteroidetes bacterium partial 16S ribosomal RNA". It matches the Rfam family "Bacterial small subunit ribosomal RNA", at positions 355 to 776 of the family's 1533-position model. Lineage: Bacteria; Pseudomonadati; Bacteroidota. The record is from RNAcentral.
UAGGGUAUCUUCCGCAAUGGGCGAAAGCCUGACGGAGCAACGCCGCGUGAGUGAUGAAGGUCUUCGGAUCGUAAAACUCUGUUGUUAGAGAAGAACAGCGCAUAGAGUAACUGUUAUGCGUGUGACGGUAUCUAACCAGAAAGCCACGGCUAACUACGUGCCAGCAGCCGCGGUAAUACGUAGGUGGCAAGCGUUGUCCGGAUUUAUUGGGCGUAAAGCGAGCGCAGGCGGUCAAUUAAGUCUGAUGUGAAAGCCCCCGGCUCAACCGGGGAGGGUCAUUGGAAACUGGUUGACUUGAGUGCAGAAGAGGAGAGUGGAAUUCCAUGUGUAGCGGUGAAAUGCGUAGAUAUAUGGAGGAACACCAGUGGCGAAGGCGACUCUCUGGUCUGUAACUGACGCUGAGGCUCGAAAGCGUGGGUAGCAAACAGG